RNAcentral lists this long non-coding RNA (535 nucleotides) under Homo sapiens (human). RNAcentral describes it as "non-protein coding lnc-TMCO1-5:1". Lineage: Eukaryota; Metazoa; Chordata; Mammalia; Primates; Hominidae. The record is from RNAcentral.
CACUGCCUGGGUGCCCAUCUGCUGCCCUCGAGGAGCUGGGCCGUGGGCAGGGAGGCGCCCCAGCGCUGCGCGUGACGUUUCCACAUGUCUGCUCGGUGGCCUGAGCCUCCUGCAGCCACUGACCCAGCUGCACCUCCCAGUGUUCCUGGCAUCUCCCGCUCUGCCCCCUCAACUUCGGCCUCGGCGGCGUGGAGAGCUCGUGCUGGCCCUUGCUCGCUCAAAUCUCCUCCAAGGACCUCAUGGUCCCGAAAAUGCUUUCAUUGUGCUACUUGGUCGCAUGCGCCUCGCCGCAUUCUCCGGCUGACCGAGAAGCACACGAAGGCAAGUCCCAGGCUGGAACAGCGGCUCUGCAUGGUCGGCACAUCGCCUUCUCAGCACUGGCUGUCUACUUUGGGCAUGUGUAUUGCUAGGCUGGGGUGUGCACCGUCUUUGCCCGCCUGGAGUAUGCUGUCCUCCUAACCAACAUAGGGUUCAGCAUGGUGGGACUUCCGGAGCGAAGAGCAUACCCUCUUGACCUGAGGAAAAGCUAUUCUGA